GAAACAUCUAAGUAGCUGCAGGAAAAGAAAUCAACCGAGAUUCCCUUAGUAGUGGCGAGCGAACGGGGACCAGCCCUUAAGUUGAUUUGAGAUUAGCGGAACGCUCUGGAAAGUGCGGCCAUAGUGGGUGAUAGCCCUGUACGCGAAAAUCUCUUAGUCAUGAAAUCGAGUAGGACGGAGCACGAGAAACUUUGUCUGAAUAUGG
RNAcentral lists this ribosomal RNA (205 nucleotides) under Gephyrocapsa oceanica. RNAcentral's name for it is "partial Bacterial large subunit ribosomal RNA". It matches the Rfam family "Bacterial large subunit ribosomal RNA", at positions 195 to 447 of the family's 2925-position model. Lineage: Eukaryota; Haptophyta; Isochrysidales; Noelaerhabdaceae. The record is from RNAcentral.